RNAcentral lists this ribosomal RNA (254 nucleotides) under uncultured bacterium. Its description in RNAcentral is "partial 16S ribosomal RNA". It matches the Rfam family "Bacterial small subunit ribosomal RNA", at positions 524 to 776 of the family's 1533-position model. The record is from RNAcentral.
UACGUAGGGCGCAAGCGUUGUCCGGAAUUAUUGGGCGUAAAGAGCUCGUAGGCGGUCUGUUACGUCCGCUGUGAAAACCCAGGGCUUAACCCUGGGCUUGCAGUGGAUACGGGUAGACUAGAGGCAGGUAGGGGAGAAUGGAAUUCCCGGUGUAGAGGUGAAAUUCGUAGAUAUCGGGAGGAACACCGGUGGCGAAGGCGGCAUCCUGGACCAACACUGACGCUGAGUGAGCGAAAGCCAGGGGAGCAAACGGG